UACGUAGGUGGCGAGCGUUAUCCGGAAUUAUUGGGCGUAAAGCGUGAGUAGGCGGUUUCGUAAGUUUAAAGUGAAAUACUGUGGCUUAACCAUGGUCUGCUUUAGAAACUGCGAGUCUAGAGUGCGGGAGAGGUUAAUGGAAUUCCAUGUGUAGCGGUGAAAUGCGUAGAUAUAUGGAGGAACACCAGUGGCGAAGGCGGUUAACUGGCCCGAGACUGACGCUGAGUCACGAAAGCGUGGGGAGCAAAUA
RNAcentral lists this ribosomal RNA (250 nucleotides) under uncultured prokaryote. RNAcentral describes it as "partial 16S ribosomal RNA". It matches the Rfam family "Bacterial small subunit ribosomal RNA", at positions 524 to 774 of the family's 1533-position model. The record is from RNAcentral.